Molecule: ribosomal RNA, 566 nt
Filed under: uncultured bacterium
Lineage: Bacteria
Description: partial 16S ribosomal RNA
Rfam family: Bacterial small subunit ribosomal RNA
Source: RNAcentral
UGGGGAAUUUUGGACAAUGGGCGAAAGCCUGAUCCAGCAAUGCCGCGUGUGUGAAGAAGGCCUUCGGGUUGUAAAGCACUUUUGUCCGGAAAGAAAUCCUUGGCUCUAAUACAGUCGGGGGAUGACGGUACCGGAAGAAUAAGCACCGGCUAACUACGUGCCAGCAGCCGCGGUAAUACGUAGGGUGCAAGCGUUAAUCGGAAUUACUGGGCGUAAAGCGUGCGCAGGCGGUUUGCUAAGACCGAUGUGAAAUCCCCGGGCUCAACCUGGGAACUGCAUUGGUGACUGGCAGGCUAGAGUAUGGCAGAGGGGGGUAGAAUUCCACGUGUAGCAGUGAAAUGCGUAGAGAUGUGGAGGAAUACCGAUGGCGAAGGCAGCCCCCUGGGCCAAUACUGACGCUCAUGCACGAAAGCGUGGGGAGCAAACAGGAUUAGAUACCCUGGUAGUCCACGCCCUAAACGAUGUCAACUAGUUGUUGGGGAUUCAUUUCCUUAGUAACGUAGCUAACGCGUGAAGUUGACCGCCUGGGGAGUAAGGUCGCAAGAUUAAAACUCAAAGGAAUUGAC